RNAcentral lists this ribosomal RNA (504 nucleotides) under uncultured bacterium. Its description in RNAcentral is "partial 16S ribosomal RNA". It matches the Rfam family "Bacterial small subunit ribosomal RNA", at positions 30 to 523 of the family's 1533-position model. The record is from RNAcentral.
AUUGAACGCUGGCGGCAGGCUUAACACAUGCAAGUCGAGCGGGAAUAGGUAGCUUGCUACUGAAUUCUAGCGGCGGACGGGUGAGUAAAGCUUAGGAAUCUGCCAUUUAGUGGGGGACAACAUUCCGAAAGGGAUGCUAAUACCGCAUACGUCCUACAGGAGAAAGCAGGGGAUCACUUGUGACCUUGCGCUAAAUGAUGAGCCUAAGUCGGAUUAGCUAGUUGGUGGGGUAAAGGCCUACCAAGGCGACGAUCUGUAGCGGGUCUGAGAGGAUGAUCCGCCACACUGGGACUGAGACACGGCCCAGACUCCUACGGGAGGCAGCAGUGGGGAAUAUUGGACAAUGGGGGGAACCCUGAUCCAGCCAUGCCGCGUGUGUGAAGAAGGCCUUUUGGUUGUAAAGCACUUUAAGCGAGGAGGAGGCUCCUGUAGAUAAUACCUACAGAGAGUGGACGUUACUCGCAGAAUAAGCACCGGCUAACUCUGUGCCAGCCGCCGCCGUAA